AUGAAUUUAAUUUUCCUUUUAGAGUCACACCAGAGAGAACAGACAAAGUAGUAAGAUACUGUAUAAUUCAAUGGACUAAGUAUUUGAUGUCAUAAACUACAUGUAUAAAGGUUAAUGGCUUUGUAAUGUGAUGAUGACUGACAGUAUAGCAAAUAGCCAUUACUAUUGAACACUAAACAAGUAUCCCAUGAUUGUGAUUUUGACUAGUCAUUCUUCUGGAGAUAUUUGUAUUUCUUUUUAUUGCGACCUACUAAUUAUCUACUGUAA
Molecule: long non-coding RNA, 267 nt
Organism: Amphimedon queenslandica
Lineage: Eukaryota; Metazoa; Porifera; Demospongiae; Haplosclerida; Niphatidae
Exons: 2
Source: RefSeq, a predicted model, not a curated record